AUUGAACGCUGGCGGCAUGCCUUACACAUGCAAGUCGAACGGCAGCACGGGAGCAAUCCUGGUGGCGAGUGGCGAACGGGUGAGUAAUAUAUCGGAACGUGCCCAGUCGUGGGGGAUAACGUAGCGAAAGCUACGCUAAUACCGCAUACGAUCUAUGGAUGAAAGCGGGGGAUCGCAAGACCUCGCGCGAUUGGAGCGGCCGAUAUCAGAUUAGGUAGUUGGUGAGGUAAAGGCUCACCAAGCCGACGAUCUGUAGCUGGUCUGAGAGGACGACCAGCCACACUGGGACUGAGACACGGCCCAGACUCCUACGGGAGGCAGCAGUGGGGAAUUUUGGACAAUGGACGCAAGUCUGAUCCAGCCAUUCCGCGUGCAGGAUGAAGGCCCUCGGGUUGUAAACUGCUUUGUACGGAACGAAAGGUUUGUCUUAAUACGAUGAGCUCAUGACGGUACCGUAAGAAUAAGCACCGGCUAACUACGU
This 481-nucleotide ribosomal RNA is filed under the name uncultured bacterium. Its description in RNAcentral is "bacterial SSU rRNA". It matches the Rfam family "Bacterial small subunit ribosomal RNA", at positions 30 to 506 of the family's 1533-position model. The record is from RNAcentral.